Molecule: long non-coding RNA, 939 nt
Organism: Rhodamnia argentea
Lineage: Eukaryota; Viridiplantae; Streptophyta; Magnoliopsida; Myrtales; Myrtaceae
Exons: 2
Source: RefSeq, a predicted model, not a curated record
AGCAAAUAGCAACCACAUUACAGAUUAACAAACAUUGGGGUUCCGAAUGCAUCCUUUCCAUUGUCCCCCUCGAAUAAUUACCACAAUAAACAUUUUGCAAUGGCAUUCUCCAUCCUUGCCAACUCAAGCACAAGACAUAAUCACUUCAGCUCCUCACACCUCUGUCAGAACAGCACGAAUGUAGCUUUCACCCAUAACACAUUUCAUAUAUUUAUGAAAAUGCAGCAGCAUCAAGAUUUCAAGUCAAACAUUCCACAAUUCAACACCAUUUGCAGAUAACCAAAGAGUUGAUCCUUUUCGCCCCCCACCCGCUAUAGAAAACACAACAGAAAAAGAUCAUCCUAUUCGACUCAUAGGCGCAACGUGCAAGAAGAACUGUGAAAAAGAAAAUUUUGGUCACUUCAAAGCCGGUGGUCCAGCAACACGAGUAAUCAAGCAGAUAAAUAUGCAACCACCCCUAAAUUCUUCACAACAGUAGAGCAAACGGAUACGAAACAACUUAGUAAGGAGGACGAGAGCGAUACCUCUCGCGCCGUUGCUCGGGAGUCAAACCGUCGCCUUUGGGCUGCUUGCCCUUGUUGCCGCUCCUGGCUUGAGCCCUCUCGCGAUCUCGCUCUCUCUGGUUACCGCGUUCGCUUCAAGUUAAGUCAAACGUACGCACUCGAGAAAAGAAACAGAAUUAUCGAAUCCAAAACCAUCGAUCUUCCUAGUUGCAUUCCGACAACGCCAUUCGGCGGAAAUUAGGAAGCUCGUAACGAUCUUCCGACAGAUUAAACCGGCAACCAGUCCCAAAAAAAAGAAAAAUCCAGAGAAAGAAUUCACAAUAAGAAACGGAAAGAAGAAGAUGAAAAAGAUCCUCAUUGGUCAAGCGGAAAGAAGAUUCCCAUCGAAGGAUAUGAGUCAUCCUCAGCCGAUCUCGGUAAGACAAAUCGUCCCGAA